This is a long non-coding RNA of Monopterus albus (swamp eel), 1698 nucleotides long. RefSeq lists it as uncharacterized. The record is from RefSeq and is a predicted model, not a curated record. The transcript has 4 exons. NCBI's taxonomy places the organism in Eukaryota, Metazoa, Chordata, Actinopteri, Synbranchiformes, Synbranchidae.
CCUGGCUGGUGCAGCCCAAGCCUCGGUGGCUUGGAGGUAACGGCUGGCUGCUAGACGGCCCUGAAGAGGUUCUGCAAGCUGAAGCCUGCAGUACAACUGAGGAUGGAGAUGAGCCACUCCACUGUCCCACAGGUUAUGAAUGCCACAUUAUCAAUGCAGGAAACCCUGCUGCUGGCAUCCCCAAUCGGGGUCAAUGUAUCAAGCAUCGUGGAAACUCUGAUGGACAUUUCUUGAGGUACAAAUACUUUAAGGACUACUUGGGUAUCAGUUCUAACAAUGCAGUCAGCUAUGACAAACAUCACAAGUACCUGGGAUAAAGGACAUUUUCAGCCACUUUCAACUGUCAUAUUAAAAACCAAAUACCUGUUUAUCCUUACCUCUCUUCCACAAAAGCCUUGUUUUUUUUUUUAUGUUACCAAGGUCAACCUUGACCCCAGCCUCAGCUUCAACCAUAACACAGCGUCAGACAUCAGCCCACUUCUGUUCGAUCUCAUCACACCUGAACUAGCAAAAAGUCUGACUUUUUUUGCUACACUUAAAGCUGCUACCUCCUCUUUGCAAAGCUUCAACUUGCAGCCUCUAUUCAGUCAUGGCAUGCUUUUGGAGACAGGUCUGAUGUCAGACACACCUACAGUACGAAGCCAAAGAAUGCUUUUUUUUGUCUCUGAUGUCUGUGAAAUGAAGGUGCAGAGGGUGCUGAUGGUACACAGAGGAGGACGCUUAGAUUACACAAAAGCUGCUUAUCAAAUCUUUCUUUCUUUCUUUCUAACUCAGUAAAACCCCAGUACCACUCACUCUCACACACAGACACACUCUCUAACCUUAAGGCUGACUAGCAGAAAAAACCAAGACCAAGUGACCCUGUUACUCAUCCUCUGAAAGAUGUUGCUUUUCUCAAAUCUGGAAGGUUUUAUAGACAAAUAAGAGAAAUUAGAGCUGUAGUUGUUGCAUUUUUGAAACAAAUCCAAACAUGAGUAAACAUUCUGACUAAUAACACCAGUUAUAAGAAUAAAUGCCAUAUGAGUUUCGAGGGUAUUGUUGGUUUUGGAGGAUUUGGAACAGCUGUACAACAAAUGCUGACCAUGACUUCAUUGCAUCUGAAAUAAGUCAAACUAGUUCACUCAAGGGUUUGGGAGAAAUUUUGAGUAAAACAGAUACUUCACUUGUGAAGGAGGAAAGCUUUAACAGCUUUUAAAAGCCACUUUUUAAUAAGCCUAGAGAGGGCAAGUGCUGACAAGACUGAUUUGGGGCGGAUUGCCCCUUCACGCUUAAACUCUCUAAAUAUCCUGUAACAAAUUUACUGAAUUGACAUUUUUAACGCAACAAGUCAUACAACAAACAUCCACCAGUGCAGUACUGUAUGUCAACCAAAACAAAAUAAUCCAGUCUGUUAAACUGUCACACCACCACAAUCCUUUGUUUUUGUACAGACAUGAGAAUAGACGGGCCUUUUGCACAGAGUAGAUGGUCAAAUUGUCUCCUGUGUUAUUCUUAAACAACUUUUUGAAGUCAGCUGUUUAAUUUAAGUUGUGUCUGUUGUGAGUUCAAAUGGUGCUCAGUUUCUGUGGUGCCUAUAGUAACAGAAGAAUAAGCUGGUCAGAUGACAGUGUAAAACAAAAGCUGUAGCCAUUCUCUGUUUCCAAAACUAAAGUGAUUUCUGAAUGUUGCUAUCUGACUGGUGCUGUAAUGCUUUUUCAU